RNAcentral lists this ribosomal RNA (278 nucleotides) under uncultured bacterium. Its description in RNAcentral is "partial 16S ribosomal RNA". It matches the Rfam family "Bacterial small subunit ribosomal RNA", at positions 335 to 624 of the family's 1533-position model. The record is from RNAcentral.
AUGCCUACGGGGCGCAGCAGUCUAGAAUCCUUCACAAUUGUUUAAACCCUGAUGGUGCGACGCCGCGUGGGGGAAUGAAGGUCUUCGGAUUGUAAACCCCUGUCAUGUGGGAGCAAAUUAAAAAGAUAGUACCACAAGAGGAAGAGACGGCUAACUCUGUGCCAGCAGCCGCGGUAAUACAGAGGUCUCAAGCGUUGUUCGGAAUCACUGGGCGUAAAGCGUGCGUAGGCUGUUUCGUAGGUCGUGUGUGAAAGGCGCGGGCUCAACCCGCGGACGGC